This 253-nucleotide ribosomal RNA is filed under the name uncultured bacterium. Its description in RNAcentral is "partial 16S ribosomal RNA". It matches the Rfam family "Bacterial small subunit ribosomal RNA", at positions 524 to 776 of the family's 1533-position model. The record is from RNAcentral.
UACGUAGGGUCCGAGCGUUGUCCGGAAUUAUUGGGCGUAAAGAGCUCGUAGGCGGUCUGUCGCGUCGGCUGUGAAAACUCAGGGCUCAACCCUGAGCCUGCAGUCGAUACGGGCAGACUAGAGUUCGGUAGGGGAGACUGGAAUUCCUGGUGUAGCGGUGAAAUGCGCAGAUAUCAGGAGGAACACCGGUGGCGAAGGCGGGUCUCUGGGCCGAAACUGACGCUGAGGUGCGAAAGCGUGGGGAGCAAACAGG